Long non-coding RNA from Dioscorea cayenensis subsp. rotundata (Guinea yam), 784 nucleotides. RefSeq lists it as uncharacterized. The record is from RefSeq and is a predicted model, not a curated record. Lineage: Eukaryota; Viridiplantae; Streptophyta; Magnoliopsida; Dioscoreales; Dioscoreaceae. The transcript is spliced from 4 exons.
UGCCCUUUUCUUCUCCACUUUCCUCCUCUUCUAGAACCUUCAUCUCCACUUCUCAAACCCAUUACCCUUUGCCUUAAAUAAAGAAAAAACUCGAAGAUCUCUUCUUCCUCCCUUGAGAAGUGCUUGUCCUUGGGGUUAUUGAGAAACUUGAGGAGGUGAGACUUCAAUCAAAUGAAAAGAGCCGGUAGAGAAGCAACACUGGGGUGUUUUAGCUCGCCAUGUUUUAAGGGUUAGAGUUUCCACGGGCCAACCUAGUUGGGGUGGUGUGGAGUACUCAGAUGAGAUAUCACCCUUUCAAGGGGCUUGUAGAGAGCCUGAAAGGUGUGCAGGGUUGGGUUCCCAAAGUCACAACAAGGUUUCCCAAUGACCAAUGCCAAGAUAUGUGCAUCUUCAUAGCUCCAUAUCUUACCGAGGCCACGGUUAGCGAUGGAGGGUUUUCGAGGCUAUUUCAAUUUCAUACUUGUAUGGAUUCCUUAAUGAUUUAAAGGUGUUAGAUCAGCGUAGCAAUGCAAAUGUGUCGUGUUUGGCAAGGGUCUAUAGUUGGUGCAAUCAUUAGGGUAUUCUAUAUAUGUAUUUUUUUAUUUAUCUUUUUUUUUUUAUCUUUGCCUUGUAUAGGUGGGAUCCAUUAGGGUAUUCAUAUUGACUCAUUUGUAUUUAUUUUCCCCCUUUGGAUACCCCUGUAUACUGGCAUUGUCUAACAUCUGUACAAGAAACUAUACCAAAGAUUUUGUGAUUGUAUUGUGAAUUUAUGCCUGGGCUUGGAAUUCCCUAUGUUUCUGUCUUA